UCACUCCAUUUCUCACAAUCUCACACACAACAGAAUCAAAAGAAUUGGAGAGAGAAAAAACCCAAAAAACCAAGAAAAGAGAAAAAAAACCCAGAAAAACUAUGGCAGCCUACAAACCCGAAUCCGAAUCCCAAGAUAAAACCAUAAUUUCCAACCAAACAACAACCCCUAAUUCCGAUCAUCAAGAAGAUGAAGAAGAGGUGAUUGUAUACGAACCAAAACCCAGAAUCAGGAAACCCAGAAAGAGGGUACCACACGUUUGUUUAGAAGGAUACGUUGAACCCUCUGAUGACGAUGAUUUACCUCGAACAAAGAGCUUAACUGAUGAUGAUCUUGAUGAAUUAAAGGGUUGUGUUGAUUUAGGGUUUGGGUUUAGUUAUGAUGAAAUUCCUGAACUUUGUAAUACUUUGCCUGCUUUGGAGCUUUGUUAUUCUAUGUCUCAGAAGUUUCUAGAUGAUCAUCCUAAUCAACAACAAUAUCAUCAACAAAGUUUGAAUCAUGCUAAUAGUACUACUGAUACGGCGUCGUCUUCUGGGUCUGAAAGUUCUAGUCCUAUGCCUACUUGGAAGAUCUCUAGUCCUGGUGAUCAUCCUGAAGAUGUCAAAGCAAGGCUAAAAUUUUGGGCUCAGGCUGUGGCGUGCACUGUCAAAUUAUGCAGCUAGAAUGCAGCGGCGCUGCCGUCGACUGAUUUUAUCAGUCUAAGGACAAAAGGAUGUCCUAUUUUCCCUAAAAGAUGAAAAGUCUUUAACUUUCGUAAUCUAAAUGAAUUAAUCUUUGAAUGGGAAGAUAAACAUGCCAGGACCGUCAAAGUUCAGAACUUUGCGACCGAAUUUUGGACAAGAUGGAAUCAGAACCAUUAGAGAAGAGGACCGUGUCAGUGUGUGUUGAGAAUCACCAUUGCAGCUACCUCAGCUUCUUAACUGGCCUCUGCAUUGCUGAGGUAACUCCCCCUUAUUGGAUAAUCAGUCUUGGAUUACUGCCAAUCCUUUCGAUUAUCUCUGCCUGAUGGAACAUACUUUUCGUUUAACCUCUAACUUGGGACUGCUAUAAGUGGUUAUCUGAUUGAUAUGAUGAAUGACAAUGCUGAUCAAGUCUGAUCUUGUGAAUUAAUAUUGAUAUUUGCAAGUUGAUUUUUCGUUAAUGGCAAACUAUGUUGUCUAUGUUUGUACGACUGACUUCUAACUUGUUCUCGCGUUUGAAGAUGAGCACCCUUAAUGACUCUUUUUGUCGGUCUUCUGCAACUUGCUUCAAAGGUUGUCAUUCUCGCGGAGGUGUCUUUGUCCAACUCUCGUACUUGUAUAUGUAGUGUACUAAUAAUUCUGGCCAUAUAAGUACAUAACUUGCUUGGUGAAUUGCAGAUAUUUUCUCAAGUUGUUCUUUGUAUUUGCUCUUGCAGAAGUUUACUCCAAGAGCAAGCAGUUGACGUGUUAGUUGGGUGAUGGAGAUCCAAAAUAACUCUUUGCCGGUUGGUUUGUUACUUGUCUUAUAUGACUUAGAAGAGUUUCCGCCUGAACCAUUUAGUAGUACGAGCAGUUGCUAACAUAUCUCCUUUACUUAGAUGUGGUUGCUGCUGGAAACUAAUGCAUUGCUGUGUUUCUUCUGUUCAUGGAAAAUUUGGUGUUCAUUAGAAUGAGCAGUGAGUCUUUAGGAGGAUUUAUCAGUAUGUUAGUAUUGAUCUGCCUCUGUGCUAUCUAAUGCCACCACGAAGCACGAUCAAGACGUUACAAGCUGUAAGUUAAGAUGUGGCAAAAUUACAAGAGAUGGUACGUCAAACGCUCCAUAACAGAAGAUUGGGAUCUGGAUUGGUCGAAUAAAUGGCCGUGUUUAAUAAAUUUCUCUGAAAUCAGAGAAAGUCAGCUGUGUAGAUCUUGAAGAAGCUUAGUUUACGGGAGAUUUGAUUCAGAGAUACGCUUACAGGCUGCAGAAGAAGAAAGAUUCUUACUUAAAAAGACAUUAGUAUUAACUUAGAUUUUUCGUCUUUUGACUCUCGUAAACUUGCGAAUCCUGUCUCUGACGUCAUGAUAUCAACUUUGCAUAAGAGAAUAUUGUGGUUUAGAUUGACACAUCUGAAUCUUAAGUGUAAGAAUUAAUCAUUUUGAUGUCUAGUUGGCCACAUGGUCUGCCUGAUUAAUUUGGUUACUGCUGUUGAUUAAUUGGUUGUUGGCGUAUUCUUUGGUAUAUCACCAAACUGAUUAUUAAGAUCAAUUUUGCUUUGUAAA
RNA transcript from Chenopodium quinoa (quinoa), 2219 nucleotides. RefSeq lists it as uncharacterized. The record is from RefSeq and is a predicted model, not a curated record. NCBI's taxonomy places the organism in Eukaryota, Viridiplantae, Streptophyta, Magnoliopsida, Caryophyllales, Amaranthaceae. The transcript is spliced from 4 exons.